RNAcentral lists this ribosomal RNA (274 nucleotides) under uncultured bacterium. RNAcentral's name for it is "partial 16S ribosomal RNA". It matches the Rfam family "Bacterial small subunit ribosomal RNA", at positions 523 to 796 of the family's 1533-position model. The record is from RNAcentral.
AUACGGAGGGUGCAAGCGUUAAUCGGAUUUACUGGGCGUAAAGCGUACGUAGGCGGUUUGAUAAGUCAGAUGUGAAAGCCCCGGGCUCAACCUGGGAACUGCAUUUGAAACUGUCAGACUAGAGUUUGGUAGAGGGUAGUAGAAUUCCUGGUGUAGCGGUGAAAUGCGUAGAUAUCAGGAGGAAUACCAGUGGCGAAGGCGGCUACCUGGACCAAAUCUGACGCUGAGGUACGAAAGCGUGGGGAGCAAACAGGAUUAGAAACCCCAGUAGUCC